AGUGAACGCUGGCGGUAGGCCUAACACAUGCAAGUCGAACGGCAGCACAGGAGAGCUUGCUCUCUGGGUGGCGAGUGGCGGACGGGUGAGGAAUACAUCGGAAUCUACUCUGUCGUGGGGGAUAACGUAGGGAAACUUACGCUAAUACCGCAUACGACCUACGGGUGAAAGCAGGGGACCUUCGGGCCUUGCGCGAUUGAAUGAGCCGAUGUCGGAUUAGCUAGUUGGCGGGGUAAAGGCCCACCAAGGCGACGAUCCGUAGCUGGUCUGAGAGGAUGAUCAGCCACACUGGAACUGAGACACGGUCCAGACUCCUACGGGAGGCAGCAGUGGGGAAUAUUGGACAAUGGGCGCAAGCCUGAUCCAGCCAUACCGCGUGGGUGAAGAAGGCCUUCGGGUCGUAAACUUCUUUUGUUGGGAAAGAAAUCCAGCUGGCUAAUACCCGGUUGGGAUGACGGUACCCAAAGAAUAAGCACCGGCUAACUUCGUGCCAGCCGCCGCCGUAA
This 506-nucleotide ribosomal RNA is filed under the name uncultured bacterium. RNAcentral describes it as "partial 16S ribosomal RNA". It matches the Rfam family "Bacterial small subunit ribosomal RNA", at positions 29 to 523 of the family's 1533-position model. The record is from RNAcentral.